GGGCGCGUAGCUCAGUGGUAGAGCACACCCUUCACACGGGUGGGGUCGCAGGUUCAAUCCCUGCCGCGCCCACCA
This 75-nucleotide transfer RNA is filed under the name Acinetobacter baumannii. RNAcentral describes it as "tRNA-Val". It matches the Rfam family "tRNA". From Rfam's summary of the family: Transfer RNA (tRNA) molecules are approximately 80 nucleotides in length. Their secondary structure includes four short double-helical elements and three loops (D, anti-codon, and T loops). RNAcentral also lists the same sequence under 190 other names. The record is from RNAcentral. Lineage: Bacteria; Pseudomonadati; Pseudomonadota; Gammaproteobacteria; Moraxellales; Moraxellaceae.